AUCCAGCUGAUGAGUCCCAAAUAGGACCGAAAUGCGCUUUAUGCUGGAU
Molecule: non-coding RNA, 49 nt
Filed under: Trichobilharzia regenti
Lineage: Eukaryota; Metazoa; Platyhelminthes; Trematoda; Strigeidida; Schistosomatidae
Source: RNAcentral